This 127-nucleotide ribosomal RNA is filed under the name Pteropus vampyrus (large flying fox). Lineage: Eukaryota; Metazoa; Chordata; Mammalia; Chiroptera; Pteropodidae. The record is from RNAcentral.
UAAAAAAGCUUUUUUUCAUGUGUAAUCACUAUUUAUUUAAAAUUAUCGUCUGAUUUCGGAAGCUAAGCAGGGUCAGGCCUGGUUAGUACUUGGAUGGGAGACCACCUAGGAAGACCAGGUGCUGUAG